RNAcentral lists this ribosomal RNA (442 nucleotides) under uncultured bacterium. RNAcentral describes it as "partial 16S ribosomal RNA". It matches the Rfam family "Bacterial small subunit ribosomal RNA", at positions 338 to 795 of the family's 1533-position model. The record is from RNAcentral.
CCUACGGGUGGCAGCAGUAGGGAAUCUUUCACAAUGGGCGAAAGCCUGAUGGAGCAACGCCGCGUGCAGGAUGAAGGCCUUCGGGUUGUAAACUGCUUUUAUAAGCGAGAAAUAUGAUGGUAACUUAUGAAUAAGGAUCGGCUAACUACGUGCCAGCAGCCGCGGUCAUACGUAGGAUCCGAGCAUUGUCCGGAGUGACUGGGUGUAAAGAGUUGCGUAGGUGGCAUAAUAAGUAGCUAGUGAAAUCUGGUGGCUCAACCAUUCAGACUAUUAGCUAAACUGUUAAGCUCGAGACCGUUAGGGGUAACUGGAAGUUCUAGUGUAGGAGUGAAAUCCGUAGAUAUUAGAAGGAACACCAAUAGCGUAGGCAGGUUGCUGGGACGGUUCUGACACUAAGGCACGAAAGCGUAGGGAGCAAACGGGAUUAGAUACCCCUGUAGUC